UACGUAGGCAGCAAGCGUUGUUCGGAGUUACUGGGCGUAAAGAGUGCGUAGGCGGUCCUAUAAGUUCCGUGUGAAAUCUCCCGGCUCAACUGGGAGGGUGCGCGGAAGACUGUAGGGCUUGAGUGUGGGAGAGGUAAGCGGAAUUCCUGGUGUAGCGGUGAAAUGCGUAGAUAUCAGGAGGAACACCGGUGGCGAAGGCGGGUCUCUGGGCCGAUACUGACGCUGAGACGCGAAAGCGUGGGGAGCAAACAGG
RNAcentral lists this ribosomal RNA (253 nucleotides) under uncultured bacterium. RNAcentral describes it as "partial 16S ribosomal RNA". It matches the Rfam family "Bacterial small subunit ribosomal RNA", at positions 524 to 776 of the family's 1533-position model. The record is from RNAcentral.